ACCUAUUUAGUAUAAAUGUAUUAUUGACUUCCAAUCAAAAGGUCUGGAUUUUGACCCAGAAUAGGUA
Molecule: transfer RNA, 67 nt
Filed under: Claassenia sp. 2 YNX-2023a
Lineage: Eukaryota; Metazoa; Arthropoda; Insecta; Plecoptera; Perlidae
Description: tRNA-Gly
Source: RNAcentral